RNAcentral lists this ribosomal RNA (274 nucleotides) under uncultured Staphylococcus sp. RNAcentral describes it as "partial 16S ribosomal RNA". It matches the Rfam family "Bacterial small subunit ribosomal RNA", at positions 89 to 355 of the family's 1533-position model. The record is from RNAcentral. Lineage: Bacteria; Bacillati; Bacillota; Bacilli; Caryophanales; Staphylococcaceae.
AUGUUAGCGGNGGACGGGUGAGUAACACGUGGGUAACCUACCUAUAAGACUGGGAUAACUCCGGGAAACCGGGGCUAAUACCGGAUAAUAUUUUGAACCGCAUGGUUCAAUAGUGAAAGACGGUCUCGGCUGUCACUUAUAGAUGGACCCGCGCCGUAUUAGCUAGUUGGUAAGGUAACGGCUUACCAAGGCGACGAUACGUAGCCGACCUGAGAGGGUGAUCGGCCACACUGGAACUGAGACACGGUCCAGACUCCUACGGGAGGCAGCAGUU